CAUGCAUGGCUCUGCACUUUUUGCACUCCCACACCCAGACUUGCUAGCAGGGGUACGGAGGUGAACGUGGUCCUUGCAGAAAUAGGAAGACUUUGGAAGCGUGGGUCAGGUCGAUUUAACCAAGGUGGCUAAGGUUUUUGUUUUUCUGGAAGAGUGAAGCAAGAACAGAAAUUGGGACUAGAGCUCCACAGAAGGUUAUCAGGCCAAUGAGGAGACAUCUAACCUGGCUCCCCUAAGGUCCUGUGUGACUUCUCCGCUGUGAUGGACCAUACCUGGAACUGUGAGCUGAAAGCUGCUUUGGUCUGAGUGCUUUACCGCAACAGCAGGAAACAAAAACAAGACAGGAAGUGACAAGUCUAAUAAUCAGGGACAGAGUGUCCUGGGAGGUGGAGGGCAAGCCCUUUGAUAGGGAGGAGGCCGGAGAAGGGAAGGUCGGGAAUGCUGAGUUUUGAUUGCUAGUUGCCGACGUCCAUUUCUUCACCAUAAAAAGCCUGGGACUUUAUUUCCUAAAACUGUUUGCCGGUCAAGUUUCCACAAUCAACAGAUGCCUCCCAGAGGUUCUGAAGGAGGAAUGAAAUAACACUAUGAUUUUUCCAUCAGGACAGUUGGACCUGACCCUCAGCUUCAGAGAGGGUCACAGAUCUGCCUAGCCCAUCCCCCUAAGUUGAGUCUGAGGAGUUUCCUGCCUUUCUGGCAACUUCCUAACUCCCUGGAAGCUGGUGACAGAUUUAAAAGGUACAGGUGCUUGGCUGACGUCUGUUAAGUCCUUCCAGUGGAUCUCUCCGGAUCUGAAACCCUGUGUUAAAUACUUCUGCGCCUGAGAAACCUUCUGGGGUAACCCUCUCUGUUGAAUGGUUAGAUUCCACUUUGAAUUGCUCUUCCCCCAGAGUCCUGCUUUUCAUCCUUCUGCUCUGAGCUUCCUAAGGGCUGUUCUGGUCUGAGGGUGAAUAAAAACCGUAGACGUUUUGCUAUGGAUAGGAACUUGAAGACGGCAUCACAGGGAUGGCUUAUUCGUGGUCCAUCCAGUAUCUCUGGCCUCAGCCUACAUGACUUGGACGGCUUAGAUUCUCAGACGGAAUCCUCUGGACACAUCCUAACUCCCAUGCUCGGUGUCUAAGCCAGAGUUGUUCAGAUUCUGGCUCUGUUGCUGUUGCUGUUAUCUGGCACACACGGUCUCCCUGUGGAAUUGAGGCUUCCUUCCAACAUGGUAGCCCAAAGGCAGGCAGUUUUUCCUUCUGGGGGUGGAAACCCCAGGCUUCUAUGCCAGGCUCCAUUGUGAUAAACGUGCACUGCUUUUUA
This is a long non-coding RNA of Mus musculus (house mouse), 1299 nucleotides long. RefSeq annotates it as predicted gene, 39742. The transcript has 2 exons. The record is from RefSeq and is a predicted model, not a curated record. Lineage: Eukaryota; Metazoa; Chordata; Mammalia; Rodentia; Muridae.